AUUCCAGCUCCAAUAGCGUAUAUUAAAGUUGUUGCAGUUAAAAAGCUCGUAGUUGAACUUCAGACCUGGCCGGGCGGUCUGCCUCGCGGUAUGUACUGUCUGGCUGGGUCUUACCUCUUGGUGAGCCGGCAUGCCCUUUACUGGGUGUGUCGGGGAACCAGGACUUUUACCUUGAGAAAAUUAGAGUGUUCAAAGCAGGCCUAUGCCCGAAUACAUUAGCAUGGAAUAAUAAAAUAGGACGUGCGGUUCUAUUUUGUUGGUUUCUAGAGUCGCCGUAAUGAUUAAUAGGGAUAGUUGGGGGCAUUAGUAUUCAGUUGCUAGAGGUGAAAUUCUUGGAUUUACUGAAGACUAACUACUGCGAAAGCAUUUGCCAAGGAUGUUUCAUCA
RNAcentral lists this ribosomal RNA (387 nucleotides) under Agaricomycetes sp. RNAcentral's name for it is "partial small subunit ribosomal RNA". It matches the Rfam family "Eukaryotic small subunit ribosomal RNA", at positions 582 to 975 of the family's 1831-position model. Lineage: Eukaryota; Fungi; Basidiomycota; Agaricomycetes. The record is from RNAcentral.